Molecule: ribosomal RNA, 211 nt
Filed under: Aureococcus anophagefferens
Lineage: Eukaryota; Pelagophyceae; Pelagomonadales; Pelagomonadaceae
Description: partial Bacterial large subunit ribosomal RNA
Rfam family: Bacterial large subunit ribosomal RNA
Source: RNAcentral
GUAGAGUAUACUAGGGCGCUUGAGAGAACCAUGUUGAAGGAACUCGGCAAAAUGACCCCGUAACUUCGGGAGAAGGGGUGCUCUCCCUCCUAUCUUUGGGUUGGGAAAGCGGCACAUACCAGGGGGGAGCGACUGUUUAUUAAAAACACAGGACUCUGCCAAGUGGUAACACGAUGUAUAGAGUCUGACACCUGCCCGGUGCUGGAAGGUU